AUGAAAGAAGUGGUAAGAAAAGAAAUACUAAAGCUUCUGGAGGCAGGUAUAAUUUAUCCUGUUGCUGAUAGUCAGUGGGUAAGUCCUUUCCAUUAUGUCCCUAAGAAGGGAGGUAUUACUGUUGUUCCUAAUGAUAAGGAUGAAUUGAUCCCACAAAGAAUUGUCACAGGUUAUAGAAUGGUAAUUGAUUUUCACAAAUUAAAUAAAGCUACUAGAAAGGAUCAUUACCCUUUACCUUUUAUUGAUCAAAUGCUAGAAAUAUUAUCUAAGCAUACAAAAUUUUGCUUUCUAGAUGGUUAUUCUGGUUUCUCUCAAAUACCCGUGUCAAAAGAGGAUCAUGAUAAGACCAGCUUUACUUGCCCUUUCGGUACCUUUGCUUAUAGAGGUAUGCCUUUUGGUUUAUGUAAUGCACCUGCUACCUUUCAAAGAUGUAUGACUGCUAUAUUCUCUGACUUUUGUGAAAAGAUUGUUGAGGUUUUCAUGGAUGAUUUCUCCGUGUAUGGAACUUCUUUUGAUGAUUGCUUAAGCAACCCUGAUCGAGUUUUGCAGAGGUGUGAAGAAACUAAUCUUGUCUUGAAUUGGGAGAAGUGCCACUUUAUGGUUAAUGAAGGUACUGUCUUGGGGCAUAAGAUUUCUGAAAGAGGUAUUGAAGUUGAUAAAGCUAAAGUUGAUGCUAUUGAAAAGAUGCCGUGUCCCAAGGACAUUAAAGGUAUAAGAAGUUUCCUUGGUCAUGCCGGUUUUUAUAGGAGGUUCAUUAAAGACUUCUCUAAAAUUUCUAGGCCUCUGACUAAUCUCUUACAAAAAGAUGUUCCUUUUGUCUUUGAUGAUGAUUGCGUAGAAGCAUUCAAAAUACUUAAGAAAGCCUUGAUUUCUGCACCUAUUGUUCAGCCACCUGAUUGGAAUUUACCCUUUGAAAUUAUCUGUGAUGCUAGUGAUGAUGCUGUAGGUGCACAAAUAACAAAGAGUCUCUUGUGUACCCAACACACCCAAUACAAUGGCAAAUUGUAUAGGUGCACUAGUUCGGCGAAGAGACGGUGA
This 1038-nucleotide ribosomal RNA is filed under the name Triticum aestivum (bread wheat). Its description in RNAcentral is "partial small subunit ribosomal RNA". Lineage: Eukaryota; Viridiplantae; Streptophyta; Magnoliopsida; Poales; Poaceae. The record is from RNAcentral.